UUGGCUAAGGUAAAGUAACCUUAGGAAAGAACGGUAAAUGCUAAAGUAUAUCAACAAUCAAGAAUGUCAAAGAAUAAAGAAUCGCCAAUGAGUAUAAUGUAAACAGAAAAAUGUUGUAAAGAAUAGCUAAUGAAUGAGAAUAGCUAAAUAAGUAAAGAACGGCUACAUGUAAAGAAUGACUAAUAAUAUGUAGUAGAAUCAAGUAAACUACUUGCAUGAGUUACAGGUUUUGCAUAUCGCAUUUUGUGAGGCAUGUUAUCUGUUAGUUGUAUAAUAACAUGGUGAUAUAUAUAUAGAUGUUUUUGGACUAACAUGAUUGCAGUGCCUCCUUGGGCCUAUUGGUCGAGCUUUUCCCUUGGGUGGCCGUACCCACUGGGAACUAUGGAGUUGGUUCUCACCCCACGUUGUUUUGGGGUGUUACAGGUAUACACGUGAGCGGCGCAGCGGCGCUAGGCAAGGGCGUAGAUUUGUAGAUAGCGCCCUAUCCCAGAGACCGAGGUAGCAGUUCCCCAAUAAGCUUAGCUAGGGGUUCGAAAGGGAUGACAACAACCAACUUGUAUUAAAUUGUAAAGAAUUUGUAAUUGUAUUUGGGAGUUUAAUGUAGAAGAAAAAUGGAACUAUGAUGUACAAUGUAAGUGAGAUGUGAAUGCUUAUAAUGGCAAGUAGAUUUAUGUUUUCGAUACUUCCUUAUGCAAUCUUGAUUGUUAUCAGUUCCUCGUUGGAGCAUUUGUAUUGUACAGGUUGCGACGCCUUGGACGUACAGGGGAAACUCUGUCCGUUCGGCGGUCUGUCGGUGUACACGAACCUGACCAAAUAGGCGGUGUUAAGGAUUUUAUAGAUUGGCGAAUUUCGUAGAGUUGUUUGGAGUCUUGAAGAGUUGAUCGCAGAAGUUAUUCAAAUUGGAGAACGAAGACUUAUUCGGAAAGUUUGACACCUAAGGUAUGAAGAAAAGAUCAUUUGUGGUGAAGAUACCUAAUUAGAAUAAGUUCAGAAGGCUUAGAUUGCUUUAAAAUAAUUUUUCUGAACUUUUAUGUGUUCUGGGACCGGUCCCUGAAAAGGAGAGACCGGUUUCCCUAAGGUCCUCACUGCGUAAACCGUGAUGCAACCGGUCCCCUGUGAUGAGAGACCGGUUCCCGAACCAUGGUGCUUCUAUCGCGCAGCGAGGAACCGGUCUCAAGUUUGAGAGACCGGUUCCCGAACGUUGGGUUUUUGGUCACGCAGAGAGGGACCGGUUCCUCACUUGAGAGACCGGUCUCUCACAGACCGGUCUCCUCGAGAGGACCCUCGAACAAUCUGUUUUAUGGAUUUGUUGGAUGCCUUGAUUUGUCCAUUGAUUUCCAUGGUGUUGUGGCCCUAAGGUAUUUAUCUAGCAUAUUACUAAUCAAUUUGCUAAAGUAUUUUUUGAAUCACAAAUCGAUGUUCUUAUAUUCCAGUAUGAUAUAUAUCAUUGUAUUUGACAGGGGUUCGUUCGAAAAUGUACUCGUGGCUACUUGUUCUUGUGGCCUUAUGGCUCGGGGUCGGUCUGUGGAAUGUAAGCGACAAGCCUGCUCAAAAGGCUAAAGGCCAUGAAGUAUCAACCGGAGGAUGAGAGAGUGCAUAUGGCUGCCUGGCGACGAUUCUUGAGAGGCGCCAGCAGAUUGGGAUAUUUGUGCUCCUGAGGGUAUUAGCUAAGGAUAAGGAUUCUGCCGAAGGCAAAGGAAAAGGAAAAAGCCGUUGAUAAAGGGAAUAAUAGAAAGCGACUGUGCAGUCUGUCGUCGCCUAAGUCGAGUCGGGUGCAUUGAAAUUCGGAGAACGGGCUCUGAGCACACGUCACAGUCUACGAGGAUGUUCACUAAUCGACGGUCGGAUGUACUCGUCGAAACACUGCAUGGUGGCGCAGAAUGUUGGAGGUCGGCCAGUAUCAUUAGUUGUGUUGCCGACGUUUCAGGAUUUAAUUUUUGACAAGGAACUCUACUCAGAUUAUGUGAUUUUCCCGGAGCAAACGAGGUUAUUUGCUUGGAGAAANNNNNNNNNNNNNNNNNNNNNNNNNNNNNNNNNNNNNNNNNNNNNNNNNNNNNNNNNNNNNNNNNNNNNNNNNNNNNNNNNNNNNNNNNNNNNNNNNNNNAUGUCUCUAACAUGGAAUGUAGCAGAUAUGUAGUGGCCUAUCAACAUGUCUCUAUGUUGCAGUUUAAUAGUUUACUAGUUUCAAGUGCCCCUUGAUGACACUUUUGUUCAACGAGUUCCAAGCAUGGCAUUAGUAUGUUCAUGAUGCAUAAUUCACUCAACUCUAGCAUGGAGACAUGUUCCCAACUUGCAAAACCAAGCACUAUCCACAAUGCAUGCAAUCUACACAUAUAGCUCUACUAUAUGGAGUACAAAUUUUACGAUAUAUGAGGCAUGCAUGUUAAGUGUUCUAAAAUUCACAUACAUCAUAUUUAGCAUGAAUUUGCAUUCAAAAAUACUUUACGAAAAGUUUAGAAGGCAUAGGGGGGCCAUUUUGCCCUAUUUUCAUGAAGUCAAACCCACCAAAAUCGACUUCUUCGUUUCGCCGAAUGAAGAUAUCCACAAGCUUACUAGUGCCCUAAAAACAUAAAAAAUAAGGUCACCCAAACGAAACGAAGAGCAAAUAGCUCAAACACUAAGCUUCUCAAGCUAGGGUUGGAGAAAACUCACCUCAAGUGAAAAACCCUCUUUUAAUCCUCAAAUGGGAGGUAGAGGUCUUCCAAUCUAACCUAUAUAAAGGUUCCAAACCCAUCAAUUAGGUCUCAAAACUCUCAAAUCCAAAAACCCCCAAAAUAAACCCUAAAUCCCAAAAUCUAGGGUUUCUUCUAGCAAAACCUAGGAAAACAUGAAACAAAUGGGGAUUACAAGCUACCAACCUCAAGAGAAGCUCCAAUCCAAGCUCAAAACCAAGUAGGGUUGAAGUUUGAUCCUCCACAAAGCUCCAACCGCAAGUUCACAGCCACCAAAGUGAGAAAUGGGGAAGAAGAUGAUGCUCCAAGGCCUCCAAGCAAGCUCCUUCUCCUUUUCUUCUUCUUCUUCUUCCUCUCCCUCUCUUCUUCUCUCUCUAGAAUGCAAAGGGUUGAGAGAAAUGAGGGAAAGAGAGAGAAGAAAGGCUCUCUAUAGGCUCUAAAGUAACAAAAUCCAGAUANUCUCUCUAGAAUGCAAAGGGUUGAGAGAAAUGAGGGAAAGAGAGAGAAGAAAGGCUCUCUAUAGGCUCUAAAGUAACAAAAUCCAGAUAAGCCCCUCAAAAAUCCAAAAUCACAUCAGCCUGGUCUGGGCAGUUUUCGCCCAGAGGGACCGGUCUCCUCGACCUGGGACCGGUCUCUCAGCCUGCCCCCGAAAAACCAACGUUCGGGAACCGGUCUCUUCCUGCGCGAGACCGGUCUCUCCCCGCGCAGACGCGCUCGGGGACCGGUCUCGACUGCCAGGGACCGGUUGCCUCGCCGGCUACGCAGCACUGUUCACUGGGGGACCGGUCUCUCCUAUCAGGGACCGGUCCCUGAGAGUAAAAACUCUCAGGACUCUGCCAAAGCUCUCGAGAUCGAACUUUUAGGCCGGUAUAUCGUCGACGGCCCUCCACCAAGUGUGGAAAAGUUCGGAAUACACAUCGAACACUCGAACCUCGCAAUUUGCAAUGGUCCAGUGUGCUACACCCCGAGUGGGCGUAUGUAUGCCGCUCAGACCGAGAAGGCGGCAGCAGCCGAGGAUGUGGUCGCAGGUAUCAUUUUACUUGAUAGCAUUAGAGUUCGUGCAUUAUUUGAUACCGGUGCAUCAGACUCAUUCAUAGAUCGGCUGUUUGCCGAGUUGCAUGGCAUCCCUAUACUUUUCUUGUUGCAUCCGGGACGUGUAGUUGUCCCCGACCACUCUUUGGAUAUUAGCGAGUAUUGCCCCAGUUGCCCUAUUCGGUUAGGAAAUUGGAUUAUGCCUGUGAACUUGCUAGCCUUGCGCAAGCUGGGGGAAUCUGAUGUGGUCUUAGGCAUGGAUUGGUUAACCAAGUAUUAUGCCACGAUUGAUUGUAAGAAUCGCACGGUUACUUUUAGAGAAGCGGGGCAAGUUGAGGUGAUAUUUCGAGGAUGCCAUAGUUCGCUUUUUGCAAUGACGAUUAGCUCGUCUCGAGCUAGGCAGCUGAUCAGCAGAGGUUGUGUAGCCUACUUGGCUAGUGUUGUGAUGAGGGGCAAGGGUGAUACCCCUAGGAUUGAUGAUAUCCCAGUGGUACGGGAGUUUUGUGACGUGUUUCCAGCUGAGCUACCGGGCAUGCCACCCGAUAGGGAGAUCGAGUUUGUGGUAGAUCUCGUCCCUGGGACUACUCCAAUCUCAAAAACGCCCUAUAGGAUGGCACCGGCGGAGCUGAAGGAGCUGAUGGCACAGCUACAGGAUCUUCUGGAUAAAGGCUUCAUUCGACCGAGCGUCUCGCCUUGGGAAGCGCCAGUUUUGUUCGUCAAGAAGAAAGACGGAUCGCUACGCCUAUGUGUGGACUAUCGUGAACUUAAUAAAGUCACGAUCAAGUAUAAGUAUCCGUUGCCGUGGAUCGACGACUUGUUUGAUCAGCUUCAGGGAUCGUGUGUGUAUUCCAAGAUCGAUUUGCAGUCGGGAUACCACCAGUUAAAGAUCAAACCCGAGGAUGUAUCGAAGACGGCUUUUAGAACACGGUAUGGACAUUAUGAGUUCACUGUUAUGCCGUUUGGGCUUACUAAUGCCCCGGCAGCUUUUAUGGAUUUAAUGAACCGUGUUUUUAAGUCAUAUCUAGACAGGUUCGUCGUGGUGUUUAUCGACGACAUUUUGGUUUAUUCCCGAAGUGAUGCAGAUCACGAGGAGCAUUUGAGGCUUGUACUUCAAGUACUUCGGGAAAAGAAGCUUUUUGCCAAGCUGAAAAAGUGUGAAUUUUGGCUUCGAGAGGUAGCUUUCCUUGGGCAUCUGAUUUUGGGGUCAGGUAUUGCGGUGGAUCCCAAGAAGAUUGAGGCUAUCAGGGAUUGGCCGAGACCGACGAGCGUUACGGAGAUUCAGAGUUUUCUUGGAUUGGUCGGGUACUACCGGAGAUUUGUCGAGGGGUUUGCUAAGUUAUCAACUCCCCUCACGAGACUCACGCAUAAAGGAGUCAAGUUCAUUUGGAAUGAUGCAUGCGAGAGAAGCUUCCAAGAGUUGAAGCAAAGAUUGACGACCGCCCCGAUCCUAACCCUGCCGAUGGCUGGAGCAGGGUAUGUGGUUUAUAGUGAUGCUUCACUUAAUGGAUUGGGUUGUGUGUUGAUGCAGGAUGGCAAAGUGAUCGCGUAUGCUUCUCGCCAACUAAAGGAAUAUGAAAAGAACUACCCGACGCAUGAUUUGGAGUUGGCGGCCGUAGUCUUCGCAUUGAAGUUAUGGCGCCACUAUCUUUAUGGUGAGCGGUGUGAAGUGUACACGGAUCACAAUAGUUUGAAGUACUUAUUCACUCAGAAAGAGUUGAACCUGAGACAGCGCAGAUGGUUGGAGCUGCUCAAAUAUUACAAUUUGACGAUUCUCUACCACCCAGGCAAGGCUAACGUGGUGGCUGAUACGCUAAGUCGGAAAUCAACGGAAAACUUAGCGAUGCAUGUUGUUACUCAACCGCAGUUAAUCGAACAGAUGAAACGGUUGGAGUUGGAGGUGGUGACUCCUGACACGCCUUUGAGGUUGAUAACGUUGGUGGUGCAACCUACACUUUUGGAUCGAAUUAAAGAAAAGCAAGCUUCCGAUGUAGAGUUGCAAAGGAUUAAAGGUAAAUUGGUUGAUGGUUGCACCAACGACUUCCUUGUGGAUGACCAAGGAUUGAUGCGUUUUCGUGGACGGAUUUGUGUACCGGCGGUUUCGGGAAUUAAAGAAGACAUUCUUCAAGAAGCGCACCGAACGCCCUACGCUAUACAUUCAGGAGGCACAAAGAUGUAUAAGGAUUUACAGUUGCUUUAUUGGUGGCCCGGGAUGAAGAAUGAUGUUGGCGAGUUUAUAGCUCGUUAUCUAACUUGCCAACAAGUAAAGGCCGAGCAUCGAGUUCCCGCGGGAAAACUUCAGAGUUUGCCUAUUCCCGUGUGGAAGUGGGAGAAGAUCACCAUGGAUUUCGUGACUAGAUUGCCCCGCUCUCAGGCCGGGCAUGAUGCUAUUUGGGUGAUCGUGGAUAGGUUGACGAAGUCGGCGCACUUCAUACCUAUUCAUACUACUUGGACUGGGGAGAAGCUCUCACAAGUGUACCUUGAUGAGAUUGUACAACUUCACGGGAGUGCCCACUUCGAUUGUAUCAGAUCGAGACACCCGAUUUGUGUCUCACUUUUGGAGGAGUCUACAGGACGCCCUAGGCACUCAACUCGAUUUUAGCACUGCUUUCCACCCUCAGAGUGAUGGGCAGUCGGAGCGCACAAUACAGACUUUAGAAGAUAUGCUCCGAGCAUGUGUAAUAGACAUCCAGGGAGGAUGGUCGCAGCAUCUACCUAUGGCGGAGUUUGCUUAUAACAAUAGUUAUCAAGCAAGCAUCAAGAUGGUACCGUUCGAAGCACUUUAUGGACGGAAGUGUAGAUCGCCACUUCAUUGGAGUGAAGUUGGCGAGAGAUUGGCUUUGGGACCAGAUGUGCUCCAGGAAGCUGAGAAUAAAGUUCGAAUUGCUCGGGAGCAACUUUUGACAGCGCAGAGUAGACAGAGGAGCUACGCCGACCGACGACGGCGAGACUUGGAGUUCCAAGUUGGAGACCAUGUUUUCUUGAAGGUCUCGCCGACUAGAGGGAUCAAGAGAUUCGGAAUGCGGGGUAAGUUGAGCCCCCGUUUCAUUGGACCGUAUGAGGUUUUGGAGCGUGUAGGUCCAGUAGCGUAUCGACUUACUCUACCACCGAACCUAUCGGGCGUGCACAACGUCUUUCAUGUAUCGGUCCUUCGAAAGUACAUCUUCGACCCGACUCACAUGUUGGAUGCUACACCUUUAGAGUUGCGGGAGACUUGAGCUUCGAGGAGCAGCCUGUGAAGAUCUUGGCUCGCGAGGUACGAAAGCUGCGGAAUCGGGAUAUUCCGUAUGUGAAGAUUCUUUGGAGCAACCACGGGGAGCGAGAGGCCACGUGGGAGCUUGAGAGCACCUUGCUGGAGCGUUAUCUCCAUUUUUUUCAGAUGGAGUCUUGAGGUACGUUGCUUUCGAGUUUCGCGGACGAAACUCCUUUUUAGAAGGGGUGAUGUGACGCACUGGACCUUUGCAAAUUGCAAGAUUCAAGUGUUUGUUUCGUAUUCUUAGCUUUUCCACAAUUCGUGGAGGGUCGUUGACAAUGUUCCGACCCAUGGUUCGAACCCCGAGAUUGGAAGUUUAAAACCUAGCACCAAAAUCUGAAAAGUCGAAUUUUUGGUCAGCUCUCAGGUAGCCUCAGCAGGGCUGUGUACCGGUACGGGGUUUAUGGCUGAACCGGUACGCGCUGAUGGCUGUACUGGUACGGGGCUAGUGUACCGGUACACAGACGGAUUUCGUGCAAACCCGAGGCUCAUGUUUGGCUGUUUCGCAGGUGUUGUACCGGUACGCUUGCCCGUGUACCGGUACACAGUGCAGCGCGAGCAGUUUUCGGGCAGGGGUGUUUGUGCAAUUGUUACAACACCUAUAUAUGGCACCCCAGCCCCCUUAGAGGGCUUUCUUGUGCCCUAACCAGUGGAGAUCAAAGGUGAGUGCCCCUCCCCUUGGUUCUUCUCCAUUUUUGAUGGGUUUUUUCUUAUUUUGAUCUUCUCUUCCUUAUGUUUCUUUGCACCUUGUUGGUUUCCUCCAUGGGAGAAGCUUGGAGCUCGUGAUUAGAGCUUCGUUGAGGAAAGAUCUUGGGAGCUUGUGGACUUUGGGCUUGUUGGAAGCCUUCUAGAGGUUAGUGGCUAAAUUCUUUCCUCUCGAUCCUAGUUUUGAUGCUUUUUGUUGGUAGAAAUCCUAGAUUUGGGAUAUUAGGGUUGGAAUUUGGGAAUUUUUGAUUUGUGGGUUUUAGGACCCAAUUGAUGGGUUUAGAACCUUCGUGUAGGUUGGGUUGGAAGGAUUCUUGCUCCCUUUUGGAGAUCAAGGGAGAUUUUCACCACUUUUCGGUGAGUUAUUAGCCCUUUUCUUGAGUUGCUUAAUGUUUGAACUCAUGAACUGUCGUUUCGAUGUUGUAACACCCCUAGCCUAUCUCUUAGGGUACUAGGAGUGAUUACCGAAGCUUCGUUAGCGUUUCGGACGCCCACGCGGAGCUUUUGGUGGGUAUGGCUUCAUUGAAAUAAGGGGAAAUGCCUCCUACGUGGUUAAAUGUUUUCGUAUACUAUAAUUGUAUGCAUAUCCAUAUUGAAUAGAAUUUAUAUGAAUUUUAGAAUGCUUAAAACUCCUAUGUUAUGCAUCAUGAAAAAUUGACUCUAUAUUGUAGAGAGAAGUAUAUGCAUUGUUAAUAUGCAUGAGUUUAAUGUUCUAAUGAAUGAUGUAAGAUCAUGUUUCUCGUGCGGAAAAUGAUUAGAAUGACAAGCCUUUAGACUUAUUAUUCAUAUUGGGAUAUAGUAAGCAAAAGUGUUAUAAAGGGGCACUUGAACUAGAAAUUGUUGAACUACAACUUAGAGACAUGAUGAUAGGCCACUGGAAAUCUGCUGGGGUCGAGGAGCGUGACAUCGUACCAGGUAUGAGUUAAUUAAAGCAAUCAUACGCUUCUGCAUGAUGUAGACUUAAGAACUUGCAUGCAUUUACCUUGUAGUCGUUCACUACUAUUUGUGCAUUGGUAUAGUAGGGACCAAGUGAACGAGUUGGUGUAGAUACCCGAGCAUGCUUAUGUGGUGAGAGUGUAGCGCCUGCUGGAGCAGGUAGAGAGCUAGAUAGCACUAGCAAAAUGCUGGUGAUGAUUGUUGGACAAAAAGUGAGACUCGUGGUAGAGCGAUCGGUUAUUGGCCAAGUAUAGGCACGUGGGCCUAGUAGUGCCUCGAAUUGCGAUGGGCGAAUCGUGCCCGUGUGGCCGGUGUGCAUAGGCACGGUUGCCUAAUGCUUAUGUGGUCGUUCACGUAUAGAGCGUUCGAGUGUAGAUACUCAUAGAGUGCGGAUUUGAUUCAACCGAGAGAGUGUGAUGGCAGUAGCACUUCAGCAUUGCUAAGUGUGAAGCGAGCCAUGGAACUCGUAAGGCUGGCGGCUCGCACUAGGUGCUUAGGAGCCGAUAGUGGUACUUAUAGCUCGAUAGAGUAUGUCGUGUAGGACGACGACGGUUGGUAUCGUUUGGGGACGAUCCGUGCCAAAACCAUUUGUGGACUGUGGAGCCUGGGCCCUUUGGGCAGGCGCAGUUAGCUGUGAGUGACAGCGGCCCGGUACCUACUGGUAGGGUAGAGUUUUGGUCAGGACGGUAGUCCGAGCUUAGACCCGGGAGCAUGGAAUGCCACGUAUUGGAUCGCGAGAUCGAUGAGAUACCGAGAGUUUGAUUAUGACCCAACUCGAGGACUUGACGUGGUUUGGAGUCAUGGUUGCUCCUGUUUGGAGUGCGUGCGAAUUCUCCAACAAGAAUUUCACCCAAUGAUGAUUAGGUCUACGAUCCGAGCGAGAGACGCUAUGUGUAGUUGCGACAGGUUUAGGCGCUAGGCCUACGUAGUAUUUGUGACCGUUGGUCCACCUGUGGAAACCGACGUAAUCGGUUCAGCCGAUGACUCUGUGGAUGAGUUGGAGUAAGGAAGUGAAUUCUCGAAAUACGAGAGUUGGACUUCGCUCAAAAUCGACCAAUUGUCGAGGGGGAGUGCUCCGGAAAAGCCGAAGAAGUCAAAUGCACCAAAAGUGCAUUGCAAUGGAGUCCGCGAGAGCAAUGGUGCAAGAAUUUGUACUUAGCAGAUUUGCUCUCGAGGACCGGUCCCUGGCGGGAGGGACCCAUUCCCGAACGUGGUCUGCGCGAGCUUGCUCUCGGGGACCGGUCCGAGGAGGGAGGGACCGGUUGCCCCGAGGUUGAGGGUUGCACAGCGUGGGGUAACCGGUCCCCUGGCAGGAGAGACCGGUCCCCGAGCGUAAAAUUUGCCCAGGCAGGCUGGGUUAUGUUGGAGGAGUUGGAGAACUUGAAGAUAACGCUCUUUCAUGGAUUGAGGUUUGAAAGAUGUGCCGGGGUAGGCCAUCUCGUAGUAGAGCGAUUUAAGGUUAGAAGUGGCAAUUGAGAGGUAAGGGAAAGUGGUAUCUUGGAGACACUUGAAUACCGGAUAGCCACAUGGAAUUGUGGACAAUGCUCUCUUGAGGAUUGGAAGUCGGGGGUAGGCCAUUUCGCGGUAGAGCAAGGUCCGAAUGUGGUUAGAACACUCGCGAUUGGGUGAUGCACCAAUGAUAUUGCUUUUGAGCAAUGUUGGUGAUCGAAUCGGAAUGCCCCGAGGGGGAAAGUGAAUGGAAAGAAGAGUGCUUGCAUGCCAAAUGGUGAAUGGUGUUGGAGCGCGCAGAGUGGUUGAGUUUCGACUUGCGCUACCACCAAGAAUGUCGGAGGCCCGUAAUGCACUUUCGGAGUUACGUUUAGCAAAUGUGAGUGAAUCUAGUCUCACAUCCCUCGUAGUGGGCCUUUGGAUAAUUCCGAUGAGUAAAAGGCCACUCCGAAGUGCGAAAGUGCAUUGGAACUCUAUGUUGCUCGAUACGUCGAGUUGAGGUGUGAAUUGGGUUUCAAGUGAGUUAGUUUUGAGGACGAAACUCUUAUUAAGGAGGGAAGGAUGUAAGGUACCAGACUUCUAAAACUAUGAGGUUACGGUGUACAUUUGGUUGGAAGACCAUUUGAACGGUUUCGGUGAGGUCCCGGUGAGGUCCGGAAUCAUUCGGGCGUUUUCGGUGCGCGUAGGCGCUAAAACAGAGCCGAAAGGCCAUGUUGGGCCGUGAGCCAAAUCCGACUUUAGCGUGAAUGAAAAGAUGAUGAAAACACACUUGAAAACAUUUUUGGAGAGUCUCGGUUCGAUUUGAAAAGAAUCGAAGGUCAAACGAGCGAAAACGAGCGAAAACGGAGCUAAAACGGGAAAAAGGCUGAAAUUUGGCUAAGUCCUAAAAAUGCUGGAAUUCUGGACCUUCGGGGACCGGUCUCUCACUGCCAGGGACCGGUCCCUUAUACAAAAAUUGGCCCCCACGAGGGCAGUGCAGGAAACAUGAAGUUGGGGGUCUUUUCUGCAAUUUGUGCACUAAUGAGAGGGUAUAGGAGUAAGGUUUCUCUUCUCCCUCUCAUUUCUCAUGACCUAAACACCAAAGACCUCUCUCUCUCUCUCUCUACAAGCUCUCUCUCUCUCUUCAAGAAGGAAGGAAAGGAGGUGGAUUUGGUGGAGAACAAGAUCAAGAGAGGGAUUAGCAUCUUCUUCUUCUUCCUCUCCACCAUUGGAGCUUACUUUGGAGGUAAGCUCAUGAGAGCUUUCAUGGUAGAUCCCUAUAGAUGGGUUUUUAUUUCCUAGCUUCUCUAAUAGAUGAAUUAUGCAUGAAUCUAGAGCUCCAAUGAGAGAUUUUUGCAUUGGUUAUACAUAGGGCUCCCAAAAUGGGGUUUUGGGAAAUAUAGGGUUAUGAUCUAAAUUGAAUAGUUGCAAACCUAAUUGCUAGGUAUUCCGACGCGUUGGCGAAGUCGGUUCGUCAAUUCGUUGAGCGGGUGCAGAGAUAUUGAAGAAAAGGCUUGUUGAGGUACAAAUUGCCGCAGCUCGCGGCGAAAGCUUCCUAAAAUCUCGAAAUCAGAAUCGUGGGCUCGUGGCAUCACCUAAAGGUGGGGGGUGUCCAUCCGAAGCAAUCGGGCUUCCUCCUAUGUCCGAGUUAGAUUUUUGGUCAUAUCGCACUUAUGGUUCUUAUACAUUAUAGGAUAUAUGUAUAGUUGCAUUUCUAUUUCCUUGCAUGCAUGUCUAGUUGUAUAGUAUUAUAAACCUUACACUUAAACCUAGAAUGCAUGAGGAUUAGGGUUGUAAUAUGAGAUCCUAUAAUGAUAAGAAAAUAGAGAACUUGGAUUUGACGAUGAAAACUAGUGAUAUGUGAACUAGUGUAUAGAAAACAAUUAUAACUUGGACGAGUGGCAUGUAGAUAAUGCAAAUACAUGACGAGUGGCAUGUAAACCUAGCGUCGUGAACCUAGGAUAGAUCGAGUGGCAUUAACCUAGUGUCGUGAACAUAGGUUGAGGAUUGAACCUAGAGUUAGUUAAACCUAGGAUAUGUGAUAAAGGUGUUAAACCUAGAGUUGGUGAGACACUUGAUAUGGACCUAGGGAUAGGUGGACUUUCGAGUGUUUGUUAACCCUAGUUGACAGGGUAUCCUCAGUUGGCAAGGAUUGGAUCAUACUCACAUAGUCUGUUUUGAGCUUGUGGUGGUCGCUCCACACAAGCAGUGCACUCCGGAGUUGUCACACGAGCGGGGUAGCUCAUGAGCGGGGUAGCUCAUCGGGUGGGAUACGAGCGGGGUAGCUCCUCACCCAUUGGACUGGGACGCGAGUUGGCAUGAAGGGCGGGGUAGCCUUUCCCCUAUGAGAUUGAGCGGGGCAGCUCAAUAUCUAUGAGAUUAGAGCGGGGUAGCUCUUCAUCUAUGACCUUUGAGAUGUGAGACGGGUGAGAUAAGAGCGGGGUAGCUCCUUACCUAUGAGAUUUGAGAUAUCAGUCAGGGCGAAGAGUGGGGUAGCUCUUCACCUCUUCACCUACUAGAUUGUGGUGUGAGUACCUAUAAGAUUUGAGAUCUUAGGCGGGGUAGCCUAGUGGAUUGGGUAAUGACAUGAAUAGCAUAAGUGGAUUUGCAUUUAUCCCCUAAUUAGACAUAGUAUAUAUUAAUGGAUUGCAUAACUAUAUUGUAUUUGUAUUCAUUACAUUGUUGAAGCAUAUUAUCAUGAUAGUAGGCUUAUUGCUAGACGAUAUUUCAUGCAUUGCUUGCAUUUGAUGGCACAAUAGAUCAUAGUUGCAGUUCAAUAUCUAUCUAUCUCUCUUUUAUUCACUUGUUUAUACUUGUGAUGCUUGCUCUUGUAAUGUUCGGCACUGGUUGUGCCCUCGCUAUUGUUUUGAUCAUGUAUGUAUUCAAGUUGAUUUCCUGGAAACUUGUUGUACAUGAUCCUGUUGUUUAGCCUGGACGGAUAGGGGAGGUGCUGUCCGUCCGGCGUCUGUUCGACGCGCCCGGAUCGGACCAAAUUGGUAGUGGUCUCGAGGCGUGCCAAGUUGUCCCCUACCACUCUUUGGAUAUUAGAGAGUAUUGCUCCAGUUGCCCUAUUCGGAUAGGAGAUUGGGUUAUGCCUGUGUACUUGCUAGCCUUGCACAAGCUGGGGGAAUUUGAUGUGGUUUUAGGCAUUGAUUGGCUAACCAAGUAUUAUGCCACGAUUAAUUGCAAGAAUCGCACGAUUACUUUUAAAGAACCGGGACAAGUUGAGGUGAUAUUUAGAGGAUGCUAGAGUUCGCUUUUUGCGAUGACAAUCAGCUCGUCUCGAGCGAGGCAACUGAUCAGCAGAGGUUGUGUAGCCUACUUUGCUAGUGUUGUGUUGAUGGGCGAGGGUGACACCCAUAGGAUUGAGGAUAUCCCGGUGGUGCGGGAGUUUUGUGACGUGUUUCCAGCUGAGCUACCCGGUAUGCUGCCCGAUAGGGAGAUCGAGUUUGUGGUAGAUCUCGUCCCUGGGACUACCCUAAUCUCGAAGGCACCCUAUAGGAUGGCACCGGCCGAACUGAAGGAGCUGAGGGCACAGCUACAGGAUUUAUUGGACAAAGGCUUCAUUUGACCGAGUGUCUCGCCUUGGGGAGCGCCAGUUUUGUUCGUCAAGAAGAAGGACGGAUCACUUCGCCUAUGUGUGGACUAUCGUGAACUUAAUAAAGUCACGAUCAAGAACAAGUAUCCGUUGCCGAGGAUCGACGACUUGUUUGAUCAGCUUCAGGGAUCGUGUGUGUAUUCCAAGAUAGACUUGCAGUCGGGGUACCACCAGUUAAAGAUCAAACCCGAGGAUGUUUCGAAGACGGCUUUUAGAACACGGUAUGGACACUAUGAGUUCACUGUUAUGCCGUUUGGACUUGUUAAGGCCCCGGCAGCUUUUAUGGAUCUAAUGAACCGUGUUUUUAAGCCAUAUCUAGACAGGUUCGUCGUGGUGUUCAUCGACGACAUUUUGGUUUAUUCCCGAAGUGAUGCAGAGCACGAGGAGCAUUUGAGGCUUGUACUUCAAGUACUUCGGAAAAAGGAGCUUUUUGCCAAGCUGAAAAAGUGUGAAUUUUGGCUUCGAGAGAUAGCUUUCCUUGGGCAUCUGAUUUCGGGAUCAGGGAUUGCGGUGGAUCCCAAGAAGAUUGAGGCUAUCAGGGAUUGGCCGAGACCGACGAGCGUCACGGAGAUUCGGAGUUUCUUUGAAUUGGCCGGAUACUACCGGAGAUUUGUUGAGGGGUUCGCCAAGCUGUCUACUCCCCUCACGAGACUCACGCAUAAAGGAGUCAAGUUCAUUUGGAAUGAUGCUUGCGAGAGAAGCUUCCAAGAGUUGAAGCAAAGAUUGACGACCGCCCCGAUCCUAACCCUGCCGAUGGCUGGAGCAGGGUAUGUGGUUUAUAGUGAUAUUUCACUUAAUGGAUUUGGUUGUGUGUUGAUGCAGGAUGGCAAAGUGAUCGCGUAUGCUUCGCGCCAACUAAAGGAAUAUGAAAAGAACUAUCCGACGCAUGAUUUCGAUUGGCGGCCGUAAUCUUCGCAUUGAAGUUAUGGCGCCACUAUCUUUAUGGUGAGCAGUGUGAAGUGUACACGGAUCACAAGAGUUUGAAAUACUUAUUCACUCAGAAAGAGUUGAACUUGAGACAGCGCAGAUGGUUUGAGUUGCUCAAGGACUAUGACUUGACGAUUCUAUACCACCCGAGCAAGGCUAACAUGGUGGCGGAUGCGCUAAGUCGGAAAUCGACAGAAAACUUAGGGAUGCUUGUUGUGACCCAACCGCAGUUGAUCAAGCAGAUGAAGCGGUUGGAGUUGGAGGUAGUGACUCCGGAUACACCCUUGAGGUUGAUGACCUUGGUUGUGCAACCUACACUUCUGGAUCGAAUUAAAGGAAGGCAAGCUUCCGAUGUGGAGUUGCAAAGGAUUAAAGGUAAAAUGAUGGAUGGUUGCACCGGCGAUUUUCUUGUGGAUGACCAAGGAUUGAUGCGUUUUCGUGGACGGACUUGUGUGCCGGCGGAUUCGGGAAUUAAAGAGGAUAUUCUUCAAGAAGCGCACCGAGCGCCCUAUGCUAUACAUCCGGGAGGCACCAAGAUGUAUAAGGAUUUAAAGUUGCUUUAUUGGUGGCCCGGGAUGAAAAAGGAUGUUGCCGAGUUUGUAGCUCGUUGUCUAACUUGCCAACAAGUAAAGGCUGAGCAUCAAGUUCCCGCGGGGAAACUUCAGAGUUUGCCUAUUCCCGUGUGGAAGUGGGAGAAGAUCACCAUGGAUUUCGUGACUGGAUUGCCCCGCUUUCAGGCCGGGCAUGAUGCUAUUUGGGUGAUCGUGGAUAGGUUGACGAAGUCGGCACACUUCAUACCUAUUCAUACUACUUAGACCGGGAGAAGCUCGCACAAAUGUACCUAGAUGAGAUUGUGCGACUUCAUGGAGUGCCUACAUCGAUUGUAUCAGAUCGAGACACCCGGUUCGUGUCCCACUUUUGGAGGAGUCUACAGGACGCCCUAGGCACUCGACUGGAUUUUAGCACUGCUUUCCACCCUCAGAGUGAUGGGCAGUCGGAGCGCACCAUACAGACUUUAGAGGAUAUGCUCUGAACAUGUGUGAUAGACUUCCAGGGAGGAUGGUCGCAGCAUCUACCUAUGGCGGAGUUUGCUUAUAACAAUAGUUAUCAAGCAAGCAUUAAGAUGGCACCGUUCGAAGCACUUUAUGGACGGAAGUGUAGAUCGCCACUUCAUUGGAGUGAAGUUGGUGAGAGAUUGGCUUUGGGACCAAAUGUUCUCCAGGAAGCAGAGGAUAAAGUUCGAAUUGCUCGGGAGCGACUUUUGACGGCGCAGAGUAGACAGAGGAGCUACGCUGAUCGACGGCGGCGAGACUUGGAGUUCCGAGUUGGAGACCAUGUUUUCUUGAAGGUCUCGCUGACUAGAGGAAUCAAGAGAUUCGGGAUUCAGGGAAAGUUGAGCCCCCGUUUCAUUGGACCGUAUGAGGUUUUGUAGCGUGUAGGCCCGGUAGCGUAUCAACUUGCCCUACCGCCGAAUCUAUCGGGCGUGCACAAUGUCUUUCACGUAUCGGUCCUACGGAGGUACAUACAUGACCCAGCUCACAUCUUGGAGGCUAUACCAGUGGAGCUGCGUGAGGAUUUGAGCUUUGAGGAGCAACCUUUGAGAAUUUUGGCUCGCGAAGUGAAGAGAUUGCGGAACCGUGAGAUUCCCUACGUGAAGGUGCUUUGGAGCAACCACGACGAGCGCGAGGCCACUUAAGAGUUGGAGCGCGCACUGCGAGAGCGCUAUCCCAAUCUUUUCCAGAUGGAGGCUUGAGGUACGUUGCUUUCGAGUUUCGCGGACGAAACUCCUUUUUAGGAGUGGUGAAUGUAACACACCGAACCGUCGCAAAUAGUGAGGUUCGAGUGUUUUAUUUGUGUUUCGAACUUUUCCACACUUCGUGGAGGGUCGUGGAUAGUGUUCUGACCUAUGGUUCGAGUCCCGAGAAUUGAGAUUCGAGACUUGGCACCAAAACCCAAAAAUUUGGAUUAUUCGUGUGCUCUCGGGUAGCUGUCAGCAGGGUGGCGUACCGGUACGCGUUGAUGGCUGUACCGGUACAGCCAUCGGCGCUGGCAGCUAGUGCGCCAACCCGAGGCUCUGGUUGGGCUGGUUCGCAGGUUGUGUACCGGUACACAAACCCGUGUACCGGUACACAAUGCAGAUUGGGCUGUUUCGUGGAGGGGCGUCUUUGCAAUUGUUACAACACCUAUGUAGCUGCUCUUUUGAGCCCUAGACUAGAGGAGAAGAGGUAAGAACUUCCUCUCUUGAGUUCUUUACCAUUUUUGAUGGAUUUUUGUGGGUUUUGAUCUCUUCCCCUUUGCUCUUCUUUGCUUCUUGUUGGGUUCCUCCAUGGGAGAAGCUUGGAUUUCGGGAUUGGAGCUUGUUUGAGGAUCAACCUUCAACCCUAGGGGACUCUAGGCUUGGUUUGGAGCUUUCAAGAGGUAAGCAUCAAGUUUCUUUCCUCUAGAUUUGUGUUUUGUUGCUUUCUACUUGUUGGAAACCCUAGAUUUUGGAUUUUAGGGUUAGAAAUGGGGAUUUUGGAUUUGUAGCUUCUAGAACCAAAUUGAUUGGUUUAGAACUUUGAUUUAGGUCGGAUUUGAAGGUCUCUAACUUCUUUUUUGAGAUCGUGGGAGAUUUCUUAGCAUUCGGUGAGUUUUCCCCACCUUAGCUUAAAAAGCUUAAUGUUUGAGCUAAGUGUUGUUCGUAAGGUUCUUGUGACACUUGUUUCCAUACCUUUAGGGUACUAGGAGAGUGGAGGAUACCCUCGUCGGAGCAAUCGAAGGGUUCCGUUGUCAUUGGUGGGUUUGGCUUCUUUGAUAUAGGAGGAAAAUGCCUCCUACGUGAUUUAUUGUUUUCGUAUACUAUAAACGCAUGCAUAUCCAUGAUAAGUAGAAUUUAUAUGAAUUUUGGAACGCCUAAAACACAUGCAUUAUGUAUCAUGAUAAUUUCACUCUAUGUAGUAGAGCGAUAUGAGUAGUAUGCAUGCAUAUGCUUUGUAGCCUUUAUUUGCAAUUUAAAAAUAUGUCUCUUAUGUGGAAAGUGACUAGAAUUAUGAACACUUAAGCAAAAAUGCCAUGCUAUGACUUAGUAAACAAAAGUGCCAUAAAGGGGCACUUGAAUUAGAAAAUUGUUGAACUGCAAUUUGGAGACAUAGUAAUAGGCCACCUAGACAUCUGCUAUAUUCUAUGUUUUAGACAUGAUGACAUAGAGAUAUGCCAUUGAGACUAUUACUAUAUUCCGUGUUUUAGACACGAUGAUAUAGAGGCGGGCCUUUGGUACAUGUACUGUAUUCUGGGUUUUAAAUCCGAUGAAACAGUGAUGAACCACUGGGACCUGAGACGGACUUAUUCGCUUGCAUGCCAUUGUGCUCAUUCGCACAUACUUGUGAGUGUCGCUCCCUACAAGUCGGCACUCCGGAGAUAGCCAUCGCGACAUAUGCUUGCCCAUGCGGGAUUGGGCGCCAAAAUGGGAUGCCGUAAGGGAGGCUCAUUCCUAGAGUGGGAAUGUUGACUACCACGGGGCCAUUGUUAGCACGGUGCAGGCCGGACUACCUACGGGUAGCUUCCACAGGAUUGGGUUACCGGUGACAUAUUGUACCUUUUGGACAUUGACUAGAAUAGUAAACAAUGACAUCAUUACUAUUUACAUUGUGGACAUUGGGAUAGUUGCCUCCUUACUUAUGCAAAUCCAUGCUAAGUAGAGAUCAUGUGAUAGUUUAUUACUUGUGCAAAUUCAUGCCAUAUUGAGCUUUCAUUCAGCGAGUUAUUUAUUCAUAUUAUUCUUACCUGCCUUAUUUACCUUACUUGCUUAGUUUUGGGCCUAGUGGUGCAUUUCACUGAAGUCAGUAAUUGCCCACUGGGAACUAUUAUUUAAUAGUUCUCACGCCCUCUGUUUUAUGUUUUCCUUUCAGAGCCCUCUGCACCGGCGGAGGCACGGGACCGCGGCAAGGGAAUCGCUAGCUAGAUNACCGCGGCAAGGGGAUCGCUAGCUAGAUAGCGAGGACUUAUUAUUACUCUUAGGUGGUUUUUCUCUCUUUUAUGUUUGGGGGAGCGAGAGAUUUUGUUUACCAUGUAUAGAGACCACCUAUGUAUUCCUUUAGCUCUUGUAUUUUGGACUUUGGUUGUACUUCUUUACGGUUUAUUUAGUGGUUUUAGCUCUCUACUUUUUACAUUGCUUCAGUCUCUAGAUGUUUUAUAUUGCUCUGAUGCUUCAAGAUACUUUCUUUUAUCGUCUUAUUUAUCGUUUCGUUUUAGACGCCUUACAUAUUUUAGACGUAUGGCGGGUCUGGACACGCGCCGGGCGGGCUUCCGCUGUGUCCCGGGGCGUGACAAAAACAAAGACCCUUUUUGCCCGAGGCUGCGAAGCGAUGCGCGGUUGGUGCGCAAUUGCAAGUUCCGACAGAACCGAGCACCGGAUGCCGCGGGAGGCCGAUUACAAGUGUCGACAAGCAAUCGGAAUGCACUAACAGGUGGGUUGUGCUUACCGAAGCGACUAGGUCGCCUUCAUGUCGAAGAAAAUAUGAUUUCCUAGUUGAUGCAUAUAAUGGGUUAAAUGCUAUAUGAUGCACAUAAUGUAAUUGCUAGAUGUUGCAUAUAAUGUAAAUGCAUGAUGACAUGAGGCAUAUAUUAUAUGAUGUUGACAUAUCAUGAUAGGCUAGUUGAUAUAUAUUUACAUGAUAGGGUAUUGGAUAGUCGUAUUUCUGUUCUUGCAUGAUCCUUAGUAGUGUAGCAACAUGAGUUGAUAUUUGAGUCAGGAUGCAUGAGAAUAGAGGAAUGGUGACCUAGAACCCUUUAGAGAUAAGUUAAAUAAUAACUUAAUCUUGCACUAUUGAAUAUGAUGAUAUAUGACUAAAUAGUCGAGGUAUUACAUUGUGACGAGUGGCAUGCAACCAAGUAAACAACUUAACGAGUGGCAUUAGAACUUAGUGUUAAAAGAACACCUGUGCAUGAUGGUCCUAGUGACAAGAUAUUCUCGUUGGACACAGAAUUGAUCAUACUCACUGUCUGUUCCCAGCUUGUGAUGGUCGCUCCACACAAGUAGUGCACUCCGGAGUCAGUCACGAGGGAUGGCCUAUUUGGGGUCCCGUGGGAUAGGGAUGGCCUAUUUGGGGUCCCGAUGGAUGGCCUAUGUGGGGUCCCGCAGACGGUCUCGGAUUCGUAGUUUGAGUCACGAGGGAUGGCCUAUGUGGGGUCCCGAUGACGGCUCCCUACGAAUCGAGAUGGCUAGCCAGUAGAUUGGGUAAUGUACUCAUGUGAAUUAUGCAAAUUAGGCAUGAGCGGUAGUCGAGUCCUAGUAGAGUGGACAUUAGGCUGAGGUGCAAGUGAGACGUCCUUCACCUCGAGCCUGGCUUUGUGCGGUACUCCGCAGACGAUUGACUCAAGACCGAGUCGGGUGGUUAGUUUUGUAAAGGUAGAUGAAACUUUAUGACAAAAACGGUAAAGGACAGAAAACCUUAAAUGCCAAUUGGAUGAAAGUAGUAAUCGAUUGAAUUACUAGUUGGUUGUAUAGUUGCAUUAUUGCAUGAUCUUCAUAUUGCAUAUCGCGAGGCAAUGCAUGGUAUUGUUAGUUGCAUAAUUCUAUUAUCAUAUCUAUCUGUUUAUUGAACUAACCUGCAGCUUGCCUCCUUCGGACCUGUCGGUCGAGCUUUUUCCUUGGGUGGCCGUACCCACUGGAAACUAUGGAGUUACCCCAUGUUGCUUUUGGGGUGUUACAGGUUCACACAUGAGCGGCGCGGCAGCGCGAGGCGAGGGCGUAGCUCCGUAGAUAGCGCCCUACCACCGUGACCAAAGAUAGCGGUACCCAAGUCAGCCAAGCUAGGGGUUGUAGAAAAGGAAAGUAAAAGGAUCAAACUUGUAAUAAUCUUGUAAUGAUUGAUUGUAUUCGGAAGUUUAAAUGUAUUUGAAAGAAAAAGAAAUGUAAAUAAUAUCAAGUGAGAUGAAUGAAUGAAUGAAUGUAAUAACUUAGGAUGUGUUUAUGUUGUUUGAUACCUUCCUUAUGCAAUUGUUGUAUGUUGAAUACUGUUCCUGGUUGGAACCUAUUGUAAUUGUAUUGAUUGCGACGCUUAGGACAUACAGAAAAAACUCUGUCUGUUCGGCGGUCUGUCGGCGUGCCGAACCUGACCAAAUAGGCGGGGCUCGGGCCAUGACAGGUGCCUUGGCCGAAGCCAGGUGUAAGGGCAUACAACGCCGAACCACGAUCAACCAGAUCGAAACACACGACAAAGGAGUCGAUGUGUUACCUGGACCCAAGGUCCACAGAUAUACAGUAUAUAUGCAAGCCUGCUCUACAUGUCUAUGAACAACUAUCAUAAUGCAAUCAACGAGAUAUAGAUGAAUGAAUGAUAAACAAACAACUGACAUGUAGAGACUACAAUGCUAAAAUAGAAGAACAGAGGGAGGUGAAACGAUCUCACCGACUACCAACUCGAAACACCCACCUGUUAUUGUCACGUCGGAAAAACUGGGUGCGCAACAAGUCAACCGGAUCUACGAAGAUCCACCGGGUCAGUAUCCAACCCACUUACCCAAAGUACACAACUC
This 21064-nucleotide long non-coding RNA is filed under the name Ananas comosus (pineapple). Its description in RNAcentral is "long non-coding RNA (ACOM_LNC019707)". Lineage: Eukaryota; Viridiplantae; Streptophyta; Magnoliopsida; Poales; Bromeliaceae. The record is from RNAcentral.